Molecule: ribosomal RNA, 483 nt
Filed under: uncultured bacterium
Lineage: Bacteria
Description: partial 16S ribosomal RNA
Rfam family: Bacterial small subunit ribosomal RNA
Source: RNAcentral
AUUGAACGCUGGCGGCAGGCCUAACACAUGCAAGUCGAGCGGAUGAAGGGAGCUUGCUCCUGGAUUCAGCGGCUGACGGGUGAGUAAUGCCUAGGAAUCUGCCUGGUAGUGGGGGAUAACGUCCGGAAACGGGCGCUAAUACCGCAUACGUCCUGAGGGAGAAAGUGGGGGAUCUUCGGACCUCACGCUAUCAGAUUAGCCUAGGUCGGCUUAGCAAGUUGGGGGGUAAAGGCCUACCAAGGCGACGAUUCCUAACUUGUCUUAGAGGAUUAUCAAUCACACUCGAACUGCGACGCGGUCCACACUCCUACGGGAGGCAGCAGUGGGGAAUAUUGGACAAUGGGCGGAAGCCUGAUCCAGCCAUGCCGCGUGUGUGAAGCAGGUCUUCGGAUUGUAAAGCACUUUAAGUUGGGAGGAAGGGCAGUAAGUUCAUACCUUGCUGUUUUGACGUUACCAACAGAAUAAGCACCGGCUACCUUCGUG